UACGUAGGGAGCAAGCGUUGUUCGGAUUUACUGGGCGUAAAGGGCGCGUAGGCGGCGCGGUAAGUCACUUGUGAAAUCUCUGAGCUUAACUCAGAACGGCCAAGUGAUACUGCAGUGCUAGAGUGCAGAAGGGGCAAUCGGAAUUCUUGGUGUAGCGGUGAAAUGCGUAGAUAUCAAGAGGAACACCUGAGGUGAAGACGGGUUGCUAGGCUGCCACUGACGCUGAGGCGCGAAAGCCAGGGGAGCAAACGGG
Molecule: ribosomal RNA, 253 nt
Filed under: uncultured bacterium
Lineage: Bacteria
Description: partial 16S ribosomal RNA
Rfam family: Bacterial small subunit ribosomal RNA
Source: RNAcentral